AAAUAAGAAAGAAAAGAAAUAUCUAUGAGGUUAGAUGUGAUGUAGAGAUGGAUCAUUGUAAAUUAAAAUGAAGAAAGAAGUUAAAGUAGGAAAAAAGAAAGAAAUUCAAAGGUGAAGAAGAAGAAAUAAGAAAGAAAAGAAGAAUCUAUGAGGUUGGUUAAUUUGUUUCCAGUUUUAAUAGAUGAAUAAGGUUAGGAAAUAUAUUUUAGGUUAGAUGUGGUGCAGAAAUGGGUUGUUGUAAAUCAAAUAUAACAUUUAAUUAAUUUCAUCAACCCAAAAAGUAACUAGAACAAUUAGAACAUCAUCAAAUAAUUAAAAGAAAGAUGAAGGUUUUAAAAGGUAACCCAAUUUAGAAGAUAUAAUGUUCUGACUUAUAUACAUAUAAGUUUUCCAACUUAUUUCUUGAUAUUCUCUGCAAGGUUUAAAAUUUAUCAUACAGGAGUGGAAUUGUCCCAUUGUUGUUAUUGAAACGUCCUAAGAUUGAUUACCAAAUAGAUUACCUGAUACUUAAUUUAUUUGUAAGAAAAGUUUUGGUGUUAUAUUAUUCUUGAAUAAAACAAAUAUAUGUUUUUUUGUUCACACAGAGGGAACUAUUUAUUGAAUUCUGCAUCCCUUUUUAGUAUAACUCCAAAAAAUAUGAUUCCAUCUCUGUC
Molecule: non-coding RNA, 653 nt
Organism: Onthophagus taurus
Lineage: Eukaryota; Metazoa; Arthropoda; Insecta; Coleoptera; Scarabaeidae
Source: RefSeq, a predicted model, not a curated record